Molecule: ribosomal RNA, 513 nt
Filed under: uncultured microorganism
Description: bacterial SSU rRNA
Rfam family: Bacterial small subunit ribosomal RNA
Source: RNAcentral
GAGUUUGAUCAUGGCUCAGGAUGAACGCUGGCGGCGUGCCUAAUACAUGCAAGUCGAGCGAACGGACGAGAAGCUUGCUUCUCUGAUGUUAGCGGCGGACGGGUGAGUAACACGUGGAUAACCUACCUAUAAGACUGGGAUAACUUCGGGAAACCGGAGCUAAUACCGGAUAAUAUUUUGAACCGCAUGGUUCAAAAGUGAAAGACGGUCUUGCUGUCACUUAUAGAUGGAUCCGCGCUGCAUUAGCUAGUUGGUAAGGUAACGGCUUACCAAGGCAACGAUGCAUAGCCGACCUGAGAGGGUGAUCGGCCACACUGGAACUGAGACACGGUCCAGACUCCUACGGGAGGCAGCAGUAGGGAAUCUUCCGCAAUGGGCGAAAGCCUGACGGAGCAACGCCGCGUGAGUGAUGAAGGUCUUCGGAUCGUAAAACUCUGUUAUUAGGGAAGACAUAUGUGUAAGUAACUGUGCACAUCUUGACGGUACCUAAUCAGAAAGCCACGGCUAACUACG